Molecule: transfer RNA, 70 nt
Filed under: Collichthys lucidus (big head croaker)
Lineage: Eukaryota; Metazoa; Chordata; Actinopteri; Sciaenidae
Description: tRNA-Ile
Rfam family: tRNA
About the family: Transfer RNA (tRNA) molecules are approximately 80 nucleotides in length. Their secondary structure includes four short double-helical elements and three loops (D, anti-codon, and T loops). Further hydrogen bonds mediate the characteristic L-shaped molecular structure. tRNAs have two regions of fundamental functional importance: the anti-codon, which is responsible for specific mRNA codon recognition, and the 3' end, to which the tRNAs corresponding amino acid is attached (by aminoacyl-tRNA synthetases). tRNAs cope with the degeneracy of the genetic code in two manners: having more than one tRNA (with a specific anti-codon) for a particular amino acid; and 'wobble' base-pairing, i.e. permitting non-standard base-pairing at the 3rd anti-codon position.
Source: RNAcentral
GGAGUUGUGCCUGAAAUAAAGGACCACUUUGAUAGAGUGAAUUAUGAGGGUUAAAUUCCCUCCAACUCCU